GGGGCGCGAUUCACAUCUCAACCGAAAUAUUUGUAAAGCGAUACGAACGAGUUACGAGAUGAAAUCCGCAAUGUUUAAAAACGCGAUUCAUAGCACACAUACUUUGAUCUCGUUUUCAUAUCGCUAGUUCGUAUUUGGAUGGCUUGAGUGAAAUGAAUGAAACUAUAUUUUUUUUAAUUGCCAUGCAAAAAUUAUAAAUACUACCACUAAUUGUUUUAAAUAAUUUUGUUCCUACAAUAUAUUUUGUUGGAAUUAGUGUCGAUAGCAAGUAUCAAGAAACAGCUUUUUAAUUCAACGUUGAAGAAAUUCAUAACCUGUGGCACUUUUGACAGCCGCCAUGUUUUCUCCAUAAAAACAUUGAUUUUCUUUGCUCAUUUUCGUGUCAACGUAGUUUUUUUGGAAAAUAAGAAGAAAGGAAGUUUAACUUACUUAGAGAAAUACGACUGAGACAUAAACACAAGCAGCAGCCGAUGUGCUUGAGUAGCAGAAGGAGCAACUGCGUUGUGAGAGGGCCACGGCUUCAGCCCUCACAAUGAUAGCUGAUUAGCUGAAGUAAUGAACAGACAGGCUGCAGUCAAUGAGAGGCUUCUUGAGGAGGGGUUCCUCAUAUGGAAAAAGAUUUUAGCGGCGACGCAGUUGCGCGACCAGUGAAGCUCUGGCUCCGCGACCGGCGUGGAGCGCGCGGUCAGCGCGGCGCUGCUGCGGCUGCUGCGCGGGAGGAUCCCGUCCCUGCGCAUGCGCCUGGCCUUCAAUGACCUCACGCCUCUCUUCUUCCUCUUCUUCAUGCGUCAAUUCAAACAGAGGAGCACCUGUGAUUACUGAUUACCUAAGUUCCUAUAUACAAUAA
Molecule: long non-coding RNA, 847 nt
Organism: Plutella xylostella (diamondback moth)
Lineage: Eukaryota; Metazoa; Arthropoda; Insecta; Lepidoptera; Plutellidae
Source: RefSeq, a predicted model, not a curated record